RNAcentral lists this ribosomal RNA (253 nucleotides) under uncultured bacterium. Its description in RNAcentral is "partial 16S ribosomal RNA". It matches the Rfam family "Bacterial small subunit ribosomal RNA", at positions 524 to 776 of the family's 1533-position model. The record is from RNAcentral.
UACGGAGGGUGCAAGCGUUAUCCGGAUUUACUGGGUUUAAAGGGUGCGUAGGCGGCGCGGUAAGUCGGGUGUGAAAUCUCGGAGCUUAACUCCGAAACUGCAUUCGAUACUGCCGUGCUUGAGGACUGGAGAGGAGACUGGAAUUUACGGUGUAGCGGUGAAAUGCGUAGAUAUCGUAACGAAGACCAGUGGCGAAGGCGGGUCUCUGGACAGUUCCUGACGCUGAGGCACGAAGGCCAGGGGAGCAAACGGG